This 790-nucleotide long non-coding RNA is filed under the name Oreochromis niloticus (Nile tilapia). RNAcentral's name for it is "lncRNA (ENSONIG00000042164.1)". Lineage: Eukaryota; Metazoa; Chordata; Actinopteri; Cichliformes; Cichlidae. The record is from RNAcentral.
ACAUUUAUAGUUUUAUUCACCACUCCUGUUAGUUUUGGAUGCGCUCGGCUCCAACCAAUCAGACCAAUUUACGCUAACGGCGCACUAAUCCCGUAACUGCACACUACCCAUAAGCCUCAAACACCGUUGCUAUGGAAAUGAAAAUAAUCAACAGCUUGGUGCUACCCGUUAUUCCUUUAUUUACUCUAAAAUAAUAACCAGCGAUAAUACGAAAAUAAACUGGCCCAGUGUUUAAUUAUGUAAUUACAAAUUGCAAAUUUUAUUUUUUUAUUUUAUUUUAUUUCAUUUUUUGCAAUAUUUAUCUACAGCGUGCCUUCAGCGACACGUAAACAGAUCUUAAGCAAGGCGAUUGGAUGGUUUUUACUGCAAUGCAUCUUGGGAGUCGUAGUAAAUGGAUCUUUCAACUCACCGUCCAGCGAAUUUUUCGACUCGACACGAGGCAGAUCUUAGCUAGAGCAGUCUGUGUACCAAGAGAACUACUUCUGCAAAGAAAUUAUAAAGCCAAAAACCAAACCAUGCCCUUCCUGUCAGGCUCCAAGCACCUGCAACAGGAAGACAUGCAGUGGAUGCCUGGGCAGCCUGAACGUAAAGGAGGGAUUGAAAAAAAAAAAACAAGAACAGCAACUGGGCUGCCUCUGUUAAAAAAAAACAGAAAUGCGAGCAGGGUGGUCAAUUCAGCCCAGUUAUCAGUAAGGUUUCAAAACUACAUGCCCUGCCAAUUCUGUUUCUUGGACAGUUUGACCGAAAGGGCCGUAUAGUAGGGGACGUGAUCACAUAGAGCCAGCGGAUG